GUGGUUGUAGCUCAACUGGUUAGAGCACCGGAUUGUGGUUCCGGGGGUUGGGGGUUCAAGUCCCCUCAGCCACC
This 74-nucleotide transfer RNA is filed under the name Gammaproteobacteria bacterium. RNAcentral's name for it is "tRNA-His". It matches the Rfam family "tRNA". Rfam says of the family: Transfer RNA (tRNA) molecules are approximately 80 nucleotides in length. Their secondary structure includes four short double-helical elements and three loops (D, anti-codon, and T loops). The record is from RNAcentral. RNAcentral also lists the same sequence under 1 other name. Lineage: Bacteria; Pseudomonadati; Pseudomonadota; Gammaproteobacteria.